AGCAGCCGCGGUAAUUCCAGCUCCAAUAGCGUAUAUUAAAGUUGUUGCAGUUAAAAAGCUCGUAGUUGAAUUUCGGGAUCAAUUAGUCGGUCGUGCCUCUGGUACGUACUGGUUUUAUUGGUUCCUCCCUUCUGACGAAACAUGAUGUCAUUAAUUUGGUGUCGUGGAGAAUCAGGACUGUUACCUUGAAAAAAUUAGAGUGUUUAUAGCAGGCUAACGCUUGAAUACAUUAGCAUGGAAUAAUGAAAUAGGACGUUCGACCCUAUUUUGUUGGUUUCUAGGAUCGACGUAAUGAUUAAUAGGGAUAGUUGGGGGCAUUAGUAUUCAAUUGUCAGAGGUGAAAUUCUUGGAUUUAUUGAAGACUAACUACUGCGAAAGCAUUUGCCAAGGAUGUUUUCAUUAAUCAAGAACGAAAGUUAGGGGAUCGAAGACGAUCAGAUACCGUCGUAGUCUUAACCAUAAACUAUGCCGACUAGGGAUCGGAUGAUGUUAAUUUUUUGAANGACUCAUUCGGCGCCUU
RNAcentral lists this unclassified non-coding RNA (520 nucleotides) under uncultured Glomus. RNAcentral's name for it is "SSU rRNA". It matches the Rfam family "Eukaryotic small subunit ribosomal RNA", at positions 569 to 1089 of the family's 1831-position model. The record is from RNAcentral. Lineage: Eukaryota; Fungi; Glomeromycota; Glomeromycetes; Glomerales; Glomeraceae.